ACUAACUGCUCCUGCAUGAAGUGAUAGAUGAUCAAAUAUUGUGGCAUAUCACAAGAUAUAGGCUAUUCUCACUAGCACAAUCAUCAAGUACAACUGGUUUCCCGCUACUCAUCAGUUUCUAUGGACACUAAUCAUCAUCACAGUUGUUCGUCAUUUAGUUCAUCACCUUGUGUAUUUUAGUUCCUCACGUUCAC
Long non-coding RNA from Rhinichthys klamathensis goyatoka, 194 nucleotides. RefSeq lists it as uncharacterized. The transcript is spliced from 3 exons. The record is from RefSeq and is a predicted model, not a curated record. NCBI's taxonomy places the organism in Eukaryota, Metazoa, Chordata, Actinopteri, Cypriniformes, Leuciscidae.